GCCUCAGUAGCUCAGUCGGUAGAGCACGUCCUUGGUAAGGACGAGGUCAUCGGUUCGAUCCCGAUCUGAGGCUCCA
This 76-nucleotide transfer RNA is filed under the name Verrucomicrobiota bacterium. RNAcentral describes it as "Verrucomicrobia bacterium tRNA-Thr". It matches the Rfam family "tRNA". From Rfam's summary of the family: Transfer RNA (tRNA) molecules are approximately 80 nucleotides in length. Their secondary structure includes four short double-helical elements and three loops (D, anti-codon, and T loops). RNAcentral also lists the same sequence under 1 other name. Lineage: Bacteria; Pseudomonadati; Verrucomicrobiota. The record is from RNAcentral.